ACCAGUUUUCAUAGGCUUGUCCUGGAUGAAGAGGGAUGAUUGGGAGAUGACCAGGAGACUGGCUGAGCUGUUGGGGUACUCUGAGGAAUGAAAGCUGAAUAAAAUUAAAAGACCUAUUAACCCCAGCUUGUAGCACAGGCAACUUUUGCAUGAAGGAGAACACCAAGUAAAUGAAACAUCGUUGGAAAACCAAAGUACCGUGAUCCACCUGCUGAGACCAGGCAGCUUGGAGGAAGAAGCUGCCUGAUUCACAUAUACCAGCUGAAUGAACUCUUUCUCUAGGAGGCUUCUACCAGUCUUCACAACAUAUCCCCUAAUCUCGUCU
Gopherus flavomarginatus (Mexican gopher tortoise) is the source of this 325-nucleotide long non-coding RNA. RefSeq lists it as uncharacterized. The transcript has 3 exons. Lineage: Eukaryota; Metazoa; Chordata; Testudines; Testudinidae. The record is from RefSeq and is a predicted model, not a curated record.